UACCUUGUAUUUCUCGAUUGUAGCACGC
This 28-nucleotide small RNA is filed under the name Bombyx mori (domestic silkworm). RNAcentral's name for it is "piRNA piR-bmo-1930951". The record is from RNAcentral. Lineage: Eukaryota; Metazoa; Arthropoda; Insecta; Lepidoptera; Bombycidae.